GUGGAUUUUUAGCCCUGGUGGGUAGCUUCCCGGAAACGAAAGUCUUCCGGUUCCGGGGGAAGUAUGGUUGCAAAGCUGAAACUUAAAGGAAUUGACGGAAGGGCACCACCAGGAGUGGAGCCUGCGGCUUAAUUUGACUCAACACGGGGAAACUCACCCGGCCCGGACACCGUAAGGAUUGACAGAUUGAUAGCUCUUUCAUGAUUCGGUGGUUGGUGGUGCAUGGCCGUUCUUAGUUCGUGGAUCGAUUUGUCUGGUUUAUUCCGAUAACGAGCGAGACUCUAGCCUACUAAAUAGUAACGAGAUUAUCAAUGUCUCAGUUGCUUCUUAGAGGGAUUUUCGGUGUUUAGCCGCACGAGAUUGAGCAAUAACAGGUCUGUGAUGCCCUUAGAUGUCCGGGGCUGCACGCGCGCUACACUGGCGAAAUCAGCGUGCUGUAUCCAUUCUCGAAAGGGAUUGGUAAACCCAUGAAAAUUUGCCGUGCUUGGGAUCGGAAAUUGCAAUUAUUUUCCGUGAACGAGGAAUUCCAAGUAAGUGCGAGUCAUCAACUCGCUCUG
RNAcentral lists this ribosomal RNA (557 nucleotides) under Acrobeloides sp. GSb15. Its description in RNAcentral is "SSU rRNA". It matches the Rfam family "Eukaryotic small subunit ribosomal RNA", at positions 1060 to 1643 of the family's 1831-position model. The record is from RNAcentral. Lineage: Eukaryota; Metazoa; Nematoda; Chromadorea; Rhabditida; Cephalobidae.